AGGUGGAAGUGAAUGCGUGUGGGAGGGAGUCAUUCUCCUCGGUGGAAUCCGUCUCUCAUGGAAUGUCAGCCAUCACUUCCUGUCUGCGUUCACUCGGGGUCACGUGUGAGGCGAGUGGGUGAAGAAGGGGGCCUUCGCAGACCACGGCGACUAAAAACGGGAAGUCCACUCCCCUCUCUCUCUCUCUCUCUCUCAUCAUAACACCAGUGCGAGGGCUCUGCACGCCUUCCUUGUUGCUUGGACGCGGCACGGAAUAGAAAAAAAAAAAACACCAGCUGAGCCAGAAAGUGGAGCAAAGUGGAGACGGAAAGGCCAGAGACACAGUUUGGGAGGACUUUCAAUCAUAGGGGAUGCAAAGGAAACAUUGAACAGAGAAUGCACUGCGGCAGCAGAGCAGGGGAGCUGUCAGCAAGCCCGUCGGCUAUUUCAGUGCACGGCCGUGAGGCUUUCCAGUCCGCACCGAAGGGAAACAUUUGUACAGGCUCAGCGGGUGGAGACAAAAGGGAAGUGCCAAGGAACAGGAACAAGUCGGGAGCUUUGCCAAACCUGUUGGCAGGGUCAAAGGUCCAAACCCUGAAGGUCGCGGGUGCUCUCCCAUGAGGAGUCUAACCUUCAGCCACAGAGACGAGGGAGCAGAGCAGACGUGAAAGACGUUAAGCUCCUAAAUACCAACCAGCGUUCGACUUUGUGGUCUGCAGGUCAUGUGAUAGGGCUGCUAAUGUGACGCGAGAAACUACGUCUAACAUGAACCUGUCCAAAACCGGGGCAAACACAUCGGGGCCACACAGCGGUUUAGUUCAUUUCAGCUUUCAACUGUUAUUGAUUAUCUUAACUGGGUUUUCCUGCUUUUAUUUUGCUCCCCUGAAAUGCAUAAAUUAACAGCCAGCCACAGGAUGCUGCUGAGGUGCUGGGAAGGAAAUUACAUAGUGGUUUUAAAUCGCUUUAGAAAAUAAUUAAAAAGUACAAAAGAU
Molecule: long non-coding RNA, 971 nt
Organism: Gasterosteus aculeatus aculeatus (three-spined stickleback)
Lineage: Eukaryota; Metazoa; Chordata; Actinopteri; Perciformes; Gasterosteidae
Source: RefSeq, a predicted model, not a curated record